CUGGGCGUAAAGGGAGCGUAGGUGGAUAUUUAAGUGGGAUGUGAAAUACCCGGGCUUAACCUGGGUGCUGCAUUCCAAACUGGAUAUCUAGAGUGCAGGAGAGGAAAGGAGAAUUCCUAGUGUAGCGGUGAAAUGCGUAGAGAUUAGGAAGAAUACCAGUGGCGAAGGCGCCUUUCUGGACUGUGACUGACACUGAGGCUCGAAAGCGUGGGGAGCAAACAGGAUUAGAUACCCCGGUAGUCCACGCCGUAAACGAUGAAUACUAGGUGUGGGGGUUGUCAUGACCUCCGUGCCGCCGCUAACGCAUUAAGUAUUCCGCCUGGGGAGUACGGUCGCAAGAUUAAAACUCAAAGGAAUUGACGGGGGCCCGCACAAGCAGCGGAGCAUGUGGUUUAAUUCGAAGCAACGCGAAGAACCUUACCUAGACUUGACAUCUCCUGAAUUACUCUGUAAUGGAGGAAGCCACUUCGGUGGCAGGAAGACAGGUGGUGCAUGGUUGUCGUCAGCUCGUGUCGUGAGAUGUUGGGUUAAGUCCCGCAACGAGCGCAACCCUUAUUGUUAGUUGCCAGCAUUCAGUUGGGCACUCUAAUGAGACUGCCGGUGAUAAACCGGAGGAAGGUGGGGAUGACGUCAAAUCAUCAUGCCCCUUAUGAGCUGGGCUACACACGUGCUACAAUGGACGGUACAACGGGUAGCGAGGGCGCGAGCCUUAGCAAAUCCUAAUAAGCCGUUCUCAGUUCGGAUUGUUCUCUGCAACUCGAGAGCAUGAAGCCGGAAUCGCUAGUAAUCGCGGAUCAGCACGCCACGGUGAUACGUUCCCGGGUCUUGCACACACCGCCCGU
Molecule: ribosomal RNA, 842 nt
Filed under: uncultured Bacillota bacterium
Lineage: Bacteria; Bacillati; Bacillota
Description: bacterial SSU rRNA
Rfam family: Bacterial small subunit ribosomal RNA
Source: RNAcentral